Molecule: long non-coding RNA, 367 nt
Organism: Impatiens glandulifera
Lineage: Eukaryota; Viridiplantae; Streptophyta; Magnoliopsida; Ericales; Balsaminaceae
Exons: 3
Source: RefSeq, a predicted model, not a curated record
UAUUAAUAUUAAUCAGGAGGAGGAGAAGGAUCUGAUGAUGAUGAAUUCAGAAAUUACAAAUAAUCAACUUUUCUCAGACCUGUCUCCGAUCAUCACAAGCACUUCCGUCCUUCCCGAUCAACUCUGCGAGCCACUGGAUUUCACCUUUGAAGACCUCCUCUGAUCGCCUGGUGCGGUGAGGGGAGAGACUUUGAUGAUGUCAAGACCUAUGCUACUUGUGUUUCUUUUAAUUAUUAUGAUAGUAACUUCACAGUUUGAAUGGAAGCAACCACUUGUCAAUGAUAUUGAGGCAACACCUAGUUUGUCUCAGAAACAAUUGCAAAUCACUAAGAGGGAAGAAGCUGUUAAGGAGAAGAUCAUCUUAUCU